This 450-nucleotide ribosomal RNA is filed under the name uncultured bacterium. Its description in RNAcentral is "partial 16S ribosomal RNA". It matches the Rfam family "Bacterial small subunit ribosomal RNA", at positions 354 to 796 of the family's 1533-position model. The record is from RNAcentral.
GUGGGGAAUAUUGGACAAUGGGCGAAAGCCUGAUCCAGCCAUGCCGCGUGUGUGAAGAAGGUCUUCGGAUUGUAAAGCACUUUAAGUUGGGAGGAAGGGUUGUACGUUAAUACCGUGCAAUUUUGACGUUACCGACAGAAUAAGCACCGGCUAACUUCGUGCCAGCAGCCGCGGUAAUACGAAGGGUGCAAGCGUUAAUCGGAAUUACUGGGCGUAAAGCGUGCGCAGUCGGUUAUAUAAGACAGAUGUGAAAUCCCCGGGCUCAACCUGGGAACUGCAUUUGUGACUGUAUAGCUAGAGUACGGUAGAGGGUAGUGGAAUUUCCUGUGUAGCGGUGAAAUGCGUAGAUAUAGGAAGGAACACCAGUGGCGAAGGCGACUACCUGGACUGAUACUGACACUGAGGUGCGAAAGCGUGGGGAGCAAACAGGAUUAGAAACCCUAGUAGUCC